RNAcentral lists this non-coding RNA (34 nucleotides) under unclassified sequences. Its description in RNAcentral is "DUF805b RNA". It matches the Rfam family "DUF805b RNA". From Rfam's summary of the family: Bacteroidetes, Chlorobi (1 example), Proteobacteria. Lineage (Flavobacteria) The record is from RNAcentral.
ACAGAGGAACCCGAAAAUCUUAUAAGAGUAGGGA